AAAACAUUAGUAAAAAAUUACUAGGCCUUGUCAUGGCCUCAUUACCAGCUUAAAUCUUGUAUGUUUUA
RNAcentral lists this transfer RNA (68 nucleotides) under Speleomantes italicus (Italian cave salamander). Its description in RNAcentral is "tRNA-Asp". The record is from RNAcentral. Lineage: Eukaryota; Metazoa; Chordata; Amphibia; Caudata; Plethodontidae.